GGAAUCUUCCACAAUGGACGCAAGUCUGAUGGAGCAACGCCGCGUGAGUGAAGAAGGUUUUCGGAUCGUAAAGCUCUGUUGUUGGUGAAGAAGGAUAGAGGCAGUAACUGGUCUUUAUUUGACGGUAAUCAACCAGAAAGUCACGGCUAACUACGUGCAAG
This 161-nucleotide ribosomal RNA is filed under the name uncultured bacterium. RNAcentral's name for it is "partial 16S rRNA". It matches the Rfam family "Bacterial small subunit ribosomal RNA", at positions 358 to 511 of the family's 1533-position model. The record is from RNAcentral.